UAAAGGUGAGAAAACAAAAAAAAGCCACAAUCCUUUUCUUUUAAUUGCUUAAAAGUAUGUACAUUAUAAAUAAUUCCACUACAUUACCACCAUUUGUGUUUCCUAGUCUGGAGUCCUACAUGUUUGAGAUGUUACUGUCUGCAGGGCCGGGCAGAGAGCGGAGGACAGAGGGGAGCAGAUCAGGAUGUCCAGUAAAACACAGAGAGGGACACAUCUGUUUUAUUAGCCUGUCUGCACUCGAUACAACAGCUGGGUGUUUGUUUGACUACAAGUAAGUGCACCACGACUUGUUAUUGUUGAGGGGGAUGACCAGGAAGUAGCAGGUGGAUGUUUUUUAGACCUAAAACUGUUGGACUAAGCUUCGUCUGUGUGCUAAGAACCAUUUCAUCAACCGCAGUGCUCGGAAGAGAGAGAGCGUGGGAUUGCUGAAGCCACAUGGUGACAGUAGGAUUCUUCUUCGUCUUCCUAAUGUGAAAGUUCAUCAUCUCUCUUGUGCUCUUCAGUCCGGGCUGUUACAGGAGACUCCUCGGUCUUUUUCUUCCCCUUUCUGUCCCCCAAAAGCUGUGCAGUCUCACAGUUUCAGAGGAGGGCCCUCUAGCCUGGACACCAGGGUUUGUGUUAUGCUCUUCCGUGAGGUACAGUAUUCAGUCUCAGUCCCUGCCUUGUAUGUCAAUGCUAACUGCCCUGUUGGGGUUCCUCCUGCUGCUGCUGCAGCUGCUGAUGAGAAAUGGUCGGGUUGAGGUGAGAAGCGGACGACCACGAGGUCAAAACAGUCCCCGGGGGUAGACUCUGUGUGCCCGCGCUACACAACGACGUCGCCAACACCACUACGCUCUCCUCCUCCGCCACCUCCUCUACAGUUAUCACCGCUCCCCCCACGCUGACCCCAGCGGCCUUUCUGGAGCAGUCCACGCAGAUGUAGUCCUCCGUCUCGGCCAUUUCGCAGGACACGCCCACGCACACCUGAUGGAACCACUCGUCGCAGCCGCCGUCGCACUGCACCCAGUCAACCUGGAAAACACAAGGCGGCAGACAUUGAAGUUCAGCACGACUCCUUCACAUCUUCAUCAUCACUCCUCCUCCCAAAGAUUUGCAGGCCUACCAGUCCCACUUCUCUGAUUGGCUCCCUUGUGACCGCACAGGGGAAGAAGACUAGCCACUGGUUAACCGAGGGGACUGUCUGCCGUGCCGUCACUUGAGAGGACCACAUCAGUGCGGCCUGUUAAUACGUGAUGUGUAACUCUCUUUAAGGUGUUCCAGUCUGUUAUCAGCUGUUGAUAUUCAAUAAAGUUCCAUGAUGUUCAUUUUGAAAA
Long non-coding RNA from Notolabrus celidotus (New Zealand spotty), 1313 nucleotides. RefSeq lists it as uncharacterized. The record is from RefSeq and is a predicted model, not a curated record. Lineage: Eukaryota; Metazoa; Chordata; Actinopteri; Labriformes; Labridae. The transcript has 2 exons.